Molecule: ribosomal RNA, 1168 nt
Filed under: uncultured organism
Description: bacterial SSU rRNA
Rfam family: Bacterial small subunit ribosomal RNA
Source: RNAcentral
UAAUACCGGAUGUGGCACCCUGCGAUUGCGGGGGAAGCUAAAGGAUUAUUCACUUCCCGAGGGGCUCGCGGNCCAUCAGCUUGUUGGUGAGGGUAACGGCCCACCAAGGCGACAACGGGUAGCUGGUCUGAGAGGAUGGUCAGCCACACUGGAACUGAGACACGGUCCAGACACCUACGGGUGGCAGCAGUCGAGAAUCAUUCGCAAUGGGGGAAACCCUGACGAUGCGACGCCGCGUGGAGGAUGAAGGCCUUAGGGUUGUAAACUCCUGUCAAGAGGGAAUAAGCAAGUGAAGGUACCUCUAGAGGAAGGGGCGGCUAAUUCCGUGCCAGCAGCCGCGGUAACACGGAAGCCCCGAGCGUUGUUCGGAUUCAUUGGGCGUAAAGGGUGCGUAGGCGGCGCGGAAAGUCCGGCGUGAAAGGCAGGGGCUCAACCUCUGGACUGCGUUGGAUACUUCCGUGCUUGAGGACUGGAGGGGAGACUGGAAUUCACGGUGUAGCAGUGAAAUGCGUAGAUAUCGUGAGGAAGACCGGUGGCGAAGGCGAGUCUCUGGACAGAUCCUGACGCUGAGGCACGAAGGCUGGGGGAGCGAACAGGAUUAGAUACCCUGGUAGUCCCAGCAGUAAACGAUGUGAGCUUGAUGUGGGGGGAUUCGACCCCUUCCGUGUCGAAGCUAACGCGAUAAGCUCACCGCCUGAGGAGUACGGCCGCAAGGCUAAAACUCAAAGAAAUUGACGGGGACCCGCACAAGCGGUGGAGUAUGUGGCUUAAUUCGAUGCAACGCGAAGAACCUUACCUGGCCUUGACAUGCAUUGUGUCGUCGGUGAAAGCCGGCUAGUCCUGGAAACAGGACGCUUUGCACAGGUGCUGCAUGGCUGUCGUCAGCUCGUGUCGUGAGAUGUUGGGUUAAGUCCCGCAACGAGCGCAACCCUUGUGGUCAGUUACUAACCGGCUUAGCCGGAGGACUCUGGCCAGACUGCCCUGUCAAACGGGGAGGAAGGUGGGGACGACGUCAAGUCAGUAUGGCCCUUAUGGCCAGGGCUGCACACGUACUACAAUGCCCGGUACAAUGUGAACCGAAACCGCGAGGUGGAGGAAAUCGCUCUUGAAAACCGGGCCCAGUUCGGAUUGGAGUCUGCAACUCGACUCCAUGAAGUCGGAAUCGCUA